RNAcentral lists this ribosomal RNA (699 nucleotides) under uncultured bacterium. Its description in RNAcentral is "bacterial SSU rRNA". It matches the Rfam family "Bacterial small subunit ribosomal RNA", at positions 8 to 698 of the family's 1533-position model. The record is from RNAcentral.
AGAGUUUGAUCCUGGCUCAGAAUGAACGUUGGCGGCGUGGAUUAGGCAUGCAAGUCGAGCGAGAAGUUUCUCUUCGGAGAAAUGGACAGCGGCAAACGGGGUAGUUAUGCGUAGGUGACGUGCCCCAAGGACCGGGAUAGCUGCGGGAAACUGCAGGUAAUACUGGAUGAUCUCUCCGGAUAUGAUGAUUUGGAGAGCAAAUGGUGUGAUUCCUCCUUGGGAGCGGCUUACGUGGUACUAGCUAGUUGGUGAGGUAAUGGCUCACCAAGGCUCAGAUGCCUAGGGGGUGUGAGAGCAUGGCCCCCACCACUGGGACUGAGACACUGCCCAGACACCUACGGGUGGCUGCAGUCGAGAAUCUUCGGCAAUGGGCGAAAGCCUGACCGAGCGACGCCGCGUGCGGGAUGAAGGCCCUUGGGUUGUAAACCGCUGUCAGAGGGGAUGAAAUGCUGGAGGGUUAUCCCUCCAGUUUGACAGAGCCUCAGAGGAAGCACGGGCUAAGUACGUGCCAGCAGCCGCGGUAACACGUACUGUGCAAACGUUAUUCGGAAUCACUGGGCUUAAAGGGUGCGUAGGCGGCCGACUAAGUAGGGUGUGAAAUACCUCGACUCAACCGAGGAACUGCGCUCUAAACUGGUCGGCUUGAGUGAGAUAGGGGUGUGCGGAACUUCCAGUGGAGCGGUGAAAUGUGUUGAUAUU